RNAcentral lists this ribosomal RNA (482 nucleotides) under Theileria sp. RNAcentral's name for it is "SSU rRNA". It matches the Rfam family "Eukaryotic small subunit ribosomal RNA", at positions 489 to 1005 of the family's 1831-position model. The record is from RNAcentral. Lineage: Eukaryota; Apicomplexa; Aconoidasida; Piroplasmida; Theileriidae.
CGGCCCUUAUGUCCUUGCUAUUGGAUGAUGGGAUUUAAACCUCUUCCAGAGUAUCAAUUGGAGGGCAAGUCUGGUGCCAGCAGCCGCGGUAAUUCCAGCUCCAAUAGCGUAUAUUAAAAUUGUUGCAGUUAAAAAGCUCGUAGUUGAAUUUCUGCUGCAUUGCUUUUGCUCCUUUACGAGUCUUUGCAUUGUGGCUUAUUUCGGACUUUGUUUUACAAUGUCCGGAUGUUUACUUUGAGAAAAUUAGAGUGCUCAAAGCAGGCUUUCGCCUUGAAUAGUUUAGCAUGGAAUAAUAAAGUAGGACUUUGGUUCUAUUUUGUUGGUUUUAGGUACCAAAGUAAUGGUUAAUAGGAACAGUUGGGGGCAUUCGUAUUUAACUGUCAGAGGUGAAAUUCUUAGAUUUGUUAAAGACGAACUACUGCGAAAGCAUUUGCCAAGGAUGUUUUCAUUAAUCAAGAACGAAAGUUAGGGAAAUCGAAAAA